Molecule: ribosomal RNA, 468 nt
Filed under: uncultured bacterium
Lineage: Bacteria
Description: partial 16S ribosomal RNA
Rfam family: Bacterial small subunit ribosomal RNA
Source: RNAcentral
GACGAACGCUGGCGGCGUGCUUAACACAUGCAAGUCGAACGGAAAGGCCCUGCUUUUGUGGGGUGCUCGAGUGGCGAACGGGUGAGUAACACGUGAGUAACCUGCCCUUGACUUUGGGAUAACUUCAGGAAACUGGGGCUAAUACCGGAUAGGAGCUCCUGCUGCAUGGUGGGGGCUGGAAAGUUUCGGCGGUUGGGGAUGGACUCGCGGCUUAUCAGCUUGUUGGUGGGGUAGUGGCUUACCAAGGCUUUGACGGGUAGCCGGCCUGAGAGGGUGACCGGCCACAUUGGGACUGAGAUACGGCCCAGACUCCUACGGGAGGCAGCAGUGGGGAAUAUUGCACAAUGGGCGGAAGCCUGAUGCAGCAACGCCGCGUGCGGGAUGACGGCCUUCGGGUUGUAAACCGCUUUCGCCUGUGACGAAGCGUGAGUGGCGGUAAUGGGUAAAGAAGCACCGGCUAACUACGUG